CCUCUCUUUGUGCCUGCAAUAAGUCCCAGUGAUCCCAGUGAUGAGUCUGGGAGUAUCAAAAAGCACUUCUGAAAAGCACUCUCCUUGCCUUCUAUCCUAAAUUAUCUUGCACUGCUAUGCACAAUCAAGAAAUGAUCAAAACAGAGCACAGAAGCUAAGCCCCAUAAAUAAUCCAGCAGACAUCAGGAAGAAGCUGGAGUUGUAGAAGACGUAAUGGAAAUCACUGGUUAUGUCUACCAGGAGACCUGAAAUAGAAGUCAUAGCUUAGCCAAAGAGAAGAGGCACACUAAAGCACCUCCCUUCCUUCUCGCUACAGGAUCCUGGCACGAGAUUGCUUAAGAAACCACUGCCUUCUCCUUUUAUAUUUCACAAGACUGUGACCACAGCCAGGUAGAGGACAGGACCACACCUCCUCUGAGAUUCCUGGCUCCCCUCACAUCUCCCUGGGCGCCUGCUUACAGGGGAGGACUCUCCAGUUGGGCUCCAGACCCCAUGGCUUUCGUC
Long non-coding RNA from Catharus ustulatus (Swainson's thrush), 504 nucleotides. RefSeq lists it as uncharacterized. The transcript has 4 exons. The record is from RefSeq and is a predicted model, not a curated record. Lineage: Eukaryota; Metazoa; Chordata; Aves; Passeriformes; Turdidae.